GGAGGGGUGCAGGAGCGGUCAAACUGGCUGGUCUUGAAAACCAUGCGUCUUAACGGACACGUGGGUUCGAAUCCCACCCCCUCCGCCA
Molecule: transfer RNA, 88 nt
Filed under: candidate division WWE3 bacterium
Lineage: Bacteria; candidate division WWE3
Description: tRNA-Ser
Rfam family: tRNA
About the family: Transfer RNA (tRNA) molecules are approximately 80 nucleotides in length. Their secondary structure includes four short double-helical elements and three loops (D, anti-codon, and T loops).
Source: RNAcentral